AUCCUGGCUCAGGAUGAACGCUAGCUACAGGCUUAACACAUGCAAGUCGAGGGGCAGCAUUAUCGAAGCUUGCUUGAUAGAUGGCGACCGGCGCACGGGUGAGUAACGCGUAUCCAACCUUCCCAUCACUCAGGGAUAGCCCGCCGAAAGGCGAAUUAAUACCUGAUGGUCUCCUUUGCAGACAUCUAACGAGGAGUAAAGAUUCAUUGGUGAUGGAUGGGGAUGCGUCUGAUUAGGUAGUAGGCGGGGUAACGGCCCACCUAGCCGACGAUCAGUAGGGGUUCUGAGAGGAAGGUCCCCCACAUUGGAACUGAGACACGGUCCAAACUCCUACGGGAGGCAGCAGUGAGGAAUAUUGGUCAAUGGACGGAAGUCUGAACCAGCCAAGUAGCGUGCAAGGAUGACGGCCCUAUGGGUUGUAAACUGCUUUUGUGCGGGAAUAAAGUAUGGGACGUGUCCCACUUUGCAUGUACCGCACGAAUAAGGACCGGCUAAUUCCGUGCCAGCAGCAGC
Molecule: ribosomal RNA, 513 nt
Filed under: uncultured bacterium
Lineage: Bacteria
Description: bacterial SSU rRNA
Rfam family: Bacterial small subunit ribosomal RNA
Source: RNAcentral